This 253-nucleotide ribosomal RNA is filed under the name uncultured bacterium. RNAcentral describes it as "partial 16S ribosomal RNA". It matches the Rfam family "Bacterial small subunit ribosomal RNA", at positions 524 to 776 of the family's 1533-position model. The record is from RNAcentral.
UACGUAGGGGGCAAGCGUUGUCCGGAUUUACUGGGCGUAAAGAGCGUGUAGGCGGCCAGGUAGGUCGGUUGUGAAAACUGGAGGCUCAACCUUCAGAGGUCGACCGAAACCAUCUGGCUAGAGUCCGGGAGAGGAGAGUGGAAUUCCUGGUGUAGCGGUGAAAUGCGCAGAUAUCAGGAGGAACACCAAUUGCGAAGGCAGCUCGCUGGGACGUAACUGACGCUGAGACGCGAAAGCGUGGGGAGCAAACAGG